GACGAACGCUGGCGGCGUGCUUAACACAUGCAAGUCGAACGGAAAGGCCCUGCUUUUGUGGGGUGCUCGAGUGGCGAACGGGUGAGUAACACGUGAGUAACCUGCCCUUGACUUUGGGAUAACUUCAGGAAACUGGGGCUAAUACCGGAUAGGAGCUCCUGCUGCAUGGUGGGGGUUGGAAAGUUUCGGCGGUUGGGGAUGGACUUGCGGCUUAUCAGCUUGUUGGUGGGGUAGUGGCCUACCAAGGCUUCGACGGGUAGCCGGCGUGAGAGGGUGACCAGCCACAUUGGGACUGAGGUACGGCCCAGACGCCUACGGGAGGCAGCAGGGGGGAAUAUUGCACAAUGGGCGGAAGCCUGAUGCAGCAACGCCGCGUGCGUGAUGACGGCCUUCGGGUUGGAAACCGCUUUCGCCUGUGACGAAGCGUGAGUGACGGUAAUGGGUAAAGAAGCACCGGCUAACUACGUG
This 468-nucleotide ribosomal RNA is filed under the name uncultured bacterium. RNAcentral's name for it is "partial 16S ribosomal RNA". It matches the Rfam family "Bacterial small subunit ribosomal RNA", at positions 28 to 507 of the family's 1533-position model. The record is from RNAcentral.